GAUGAACGCUGGCGGCGUGCCUAAUACAUGCAAGUCGAGCGAACGGACGAGAAGCUUGCUUUUCUGAUGUUAGCGGCGGACGGGUGAGUAACACGUGGAUAACCUACCUAUAAGACUGGGAUAACUUCGGGAAACCGGAGCUAAUACCGGAUAAUAUUUUGAACCGCAUGGUUCAAAAGUGAAAGACGGUCUUGCUGUCACUUAUAGAUGGAUCCGCGCUGCAUUAGCUAGUUGGUAAGGUAACGGCUUACCAAGGCAACGAUGCAUAGCCGACCUGAGAGGGUGAUCGGCCACACUGGAACUGAGACACGGUCCAGACUCCUACGGGAGGCAGCAGUAGGGAAUCUUCCGCAAUGGGCGAAAGCCUGACGGAGCAACGCCGUGUGAGUGAUGAAGGUCUUCGGAUCGUAAAACUCUGUUAUUAGGGAAGAACAUAUGUGUAAGUAACUGUGCACAUCUUGACGGUACCUAAUCAGAAAGCCACGGCUAACUACGUG
RNAcentral lists this ribosomal RNA (497 nucleotides) under uncultured bacterium. Its description in RNAcentral is "partial 16S ribosomal RNA". It matches the Rfam family "Bacterial small subunit ribosomal RNA", at positions 28 to 507 of the family's 1533-position model. The record is from RNAcentral.